Molecule: ribosomal RNA, 342 nt
Filed under: uncultured eukaryote
Lineage: Eukaryota
Description: SSU rRNA
Rfam family: Eukaryotic small subunit ribosomal RNA
Source: RNAcentral
CCAGCAGCUGCGGUAAUUCCAGCUCCAAUAGCGUAUAUUAAAGUUGUUGCAGUUAAAAAGCCCGUAGUUGGAUUUCUAGAUAGGUGGGUACUUGUACUUUGCUUGUCUACCAGUCAUAGACUGUUACUGUGAGGAAAUUAGAGUGUUUCAAGCAGGCUUACGCCUUGAAUAAUUUAGCAUGGAAUAAUAAUUUAGGACUUCGGUUCUAUUUUGUUGGUUUCUAGAACUGAAGUAAUGAUUAAUAGGGACAGUCGGGGGCAUUCGUACUCAACAGUCAGAGGUGAAAUUCUUGGAUUUGUUGGAGACGAACUACUGCGAAAGCAUUUGCCAAGGAUGUUUUCA